Molecule: long non-coding RNA, 319 nt
Filed under: Manihot esculenta (cassava)
Lineage: Eukaryota; Viridiplantae; Streptophyta; Magnoliopsida; Malpighiales; Euphorbiaceae
Description: long non-coding RNA (MESC_LNC006975)
Source: RNAcentral
UAACCGAACUGAGACAUAGAGACCUCAGGGAGGUGGAAGACCGGGAUCCCCAAGAUCUCCCGGCACGAACACCAAUCGAACUGAGACAUAGAGACCUCAGGGAGGUGGAAGACCGGGAUCCCCAAGAUCUCCUGGCACCAACACCAACCGAACUGAGACAUAGAGACCUCAGGGAGGUGGAAGACCGGGAUCCCCAAGAUCUCCCGGCACCAACAUAAACCUAACUGAGACAUCGAGACCUCAGGGAGGUAGAACACCAGGAUCCCCAAGAUCUCCUAGCAUAACAAGACUGGGAUCCCCAAGAUCUCCCAGUGCGAGA